Molecule: RNA transcript, 1905 nt
Organism: Drosophila subobscura
Lineage: Eukaryota; Metazoa; Arthropoda; Insecta; Diptera; Drosophilidae
Gene: Pgd
Gene name: 6-phosphogluconate dehydrogenase, decarboxylating
Exons: 4
Source: RefSeq, a predicted model, not a curated record
ACAUGUAGAGUGGCAACGCCAAGUGGCAGACCGAUCGUGAAAAAACAUUCCACAGUAGCGGCGCAAAAAACAUCAGAGAGAGGAAUCAAAAUCAAAUAAAAUUUGCUUUCGUACGGUACACAUUUUUGUUUGACAAAAAAGGAAUAAGCGACAACAAGAUGAGCGGAAAGGCUGACAUUGCACUCAUUGGGCUGGCCGUGAUGGGCCAGAAUCUCAUAUUGAACAUGGACGAGAAGGGGUUUGUGGUGUGCGCCUACAACCGCACGGUGGCCAAGGUCAAAGACUUUCUCGCCAACGAGGCCAAAGGCACAAAUGUGAUUGGCGCUGAUUCACUGAAGGACAUGGUGGCGAAACUGAAAACGCCGCGCAAAAUUAUGCUGUUGGUCAAGGCCGGCAGCGCCGUCGACGACUUCAUUGAGCAACUGCUGCCGCUGCUCUCCCGCGGCGAUGUGAUCAUUGAUGGCGGCAACUCAGAGUACCAGGACACGUCGCGUCGCUGCGCCGAGCUGGAGAAGCUGGGCCUGCUCUUUGUGGGCUCCGGCGUUAGCGGUGGUGAGGAGGGUGCCCGGCACGGACCCAGCUUGAUGCCCGGCGGCCAUGAGGCUGCCUGGCCCCUGAUCAAGCCCAUCUUCCAGGCCAUCUGCGCCAAGGCCGAUGGCGAGCCCUGCUGCGAAUGGGUCGGCGACGGGGGCGCUGGACACUUUGUCAAGAUGGUGCACAAUGGCAUCGAGUACGGAGACAUGCAGUUGAUCUGUGAGGCCUACCACAUAAUGCAGAGCCUGGGUCUGUCCGCUACCCAGAUGGCCGAUGAGUUCGGCAAGUGGAACUCGGCCGAGCUGGACUCUUUCCUCAUCGAGAUCACGCGCGACAUUCUCAAGUACAAGGACAGCAAGGGGCAUCUGCUGGAGCGGAUUCGUGAUACGGCCGGCCAGAAGGGUACGGGCAAGUGGACGGCCAUCGCCGCCCUGCAGUACGGCGUUCCCGUGACGCUCAUCGGUGAGGCAGUCUUCUCCCGCUGCCUGUCCGCCCUCAAGCAGGAGCGCGUCCAUGCCAGCGGCGUGCUCAAGGGUCCCUCAGCGAAGCCGAGCGUGGCGAAUGUGACCAAGUUCCUGGACGACAUCAAGCACGCCCUGUACUGCGCCAAGAUUGUUAGCUACGCACAGGGAUUCAUGCUGAUGCGCGAGGCGGCCAAGGAGAACAACUGGCGGCUGAACUACGGCGGCAUUGCACUGAUGUGGCGCGGCGGCUGCAUCAUACGCAGCGUCUUUCUGGGCAACAUCAAGGACGCCUACACAUCGCAGCCGCAGCUGUCCAACCUGCUGCUGGACGACUUCUUCAAGAAGGCCAUCGAGCGGGGACAGGACUCGUGGCGCGAGGUGGUGGCCAAUGCCUUCCGCUGGGGCAUCCCCGUGCCAGCGCUCUCCACCGCCCUGAGCUUCUACGAUGGCUAUCGCACCGCCAAGCUGCCGGCCAAUCUGCUGCAGGCGCAGCGCGACUACUUUGGUGCUCACACCUACGAGCUGCUCGGCGACGAGGGCAAGUUCCAUCACACCAACUGGACGGGCACUGGCGGCAAUGUCUCCGCCAGCACAUACCAGGCAUAGCCUGUGGCACCCCUCUCACACACAAACACACACAUACACACACGCACACGCACAGACAACACAACACGCAUUCCAUGUCAUAAGGUAAAUAGUUGGAUGUCCCUCCGUUGGGGAGCUGUAACAAAAGAUUACAAUUGUUUUUUUUUAUAGGGUAGCAGUACCUAUUUAUAACGUUACUAUAUAUAUAUGCAUCAAACGAUAGCGAUUCCUUCACUUCACUGGUGGUUCAAAAAUAAGGCCUACAUAUGUAACUUGACUUCCAUAAGAUCAACAAUGGGCAAAAAGCUUUAUCCAACUAGAA